RNAcentral lists this long non-coding RNA (218 nucleotides) under Elaeis guineensis (African oil palm). RNAcentral describes it as "long non-coding RNA (EGUI_LNC069913)". The record is from RNAcentral. Lineage: Eukaryota; Viridiplantae; Streptophyta; Magnoliopsida; Arecales; Arecaceae.
CCUGUAUGCCAUACCAGUGUCUCCACACUCCUUGGUUAAGAGGAUAACUAACCCAUAUGGCCUACAGCGUCCUAUGCUCGAUAGAAGCUGUCGUCCUUAUUAACAGCCUAUCAUUUGGUCGUGAACAAUUUUAAGGACUAAUCGAUAAAUCCUCUCUUUAUCGAACCUAAAUAGUCCUAAGGACUUCAUCACAACAACGGAGUUCAUUAGAAGAUGAA